Molecule: ribosomal RNA, 467 nt
Filed under: uncultured bacterium
Lineage: Bacteria
Description: partial 16S ribosomal RNA
Rfam family: Bacterial small subunit ribosomal RNA
Source: RNAcentral
ACGAACGCUGGCGGCGUGCUUAACCCCUGCCAGUCGAACGGAAAGGCCCUGCUUUUGUGGGGUGCUCGAGUGGCGAACGGGUGAGUAACACGUGAGUAACCUGCCCUUGACUUUGGGAUAACUUCAGGAAACUGGGGCUAAUACCGGAUAGGAGCUCCUGCUGCAUGGUGGGGGUUGGAAAGUUUCGGCGGUUGGGGAUGGACUCGCGGCUUAUCAGCUUGUUGGUGGGGUAGUGGCUUACCAAGGCUUUGACGGGUAGCCGGCCUGAGAGGGUGACCGGCCACAUUGGGACUGAGAUACGGCCCAGACUCCUACGGGAGGCAGCAGUGGGGAAUAUUGCACAAUGGGCGGAAGCCUGAUGCAGCAACGCCGCGUGCGGGAUGACGGCCUUCGGGUUGUAAACCGCUUUCGCCUGUGACGAAGCAUGAGUGACGGUAAUGGGUAAAGAAGCACCGGCUAACUACGUG